CUCGGCCCCCACCAGCCCGCCCACCAGGCCUCGAUGGCUCUCUCGAAUCUCGCCCGCCCUGUAGCCCCCAACUUCUCCCAAGCACGCCUUCUCAGCUCACAUCUUUCAAAGGGACCACGUGGAGAGAGAGAAAGGGAGACUCUCAGACGGCAGCAUCACUGAAAUAACCUUUCCAGUGAAUGAGAUAGAUGACAGAGGUGUCAGCCAGAUAGAGCCCUGUGGACCCAGGACCUACUGACGCACCUGACAAGUAAUGAGGUUAGGCAUAUCUGAUGAAGGAUAUCUGAUCAACUAUGACAUUAUCUCCACAAAGGCCAUAACUGCUAGGCGGUAAUUCACUAAGUGUCUGCUGAAGUUUCUUAGAGUGUUAAGCAACUAGACUCGCCCAUGCUUCCAAGGAGUCCUGCAUUUUUUUGGAGUAGCUGUUUGGAGAUGCAGAAUUCAGAGAAGAGUACAGAAGAAAGGUACAAGCCUAAUCUUCUCUCAGACAGAAGGAAAGACUCUACAAAGAACUAACUUAGGGGCUUCCCUGGUGGCACAGUGGUUAAGAAUCCGCCUGCCAAUGCAGGGGACAUGGG
Long non-coding RNA from Delphinapterus leucas (beluga whale), 578 nucleotides. RefSeq lists it as uncharacterized. The record is from RefSeq and is a predicted model, not a curated record. NCBI's taxonomy places the organism in Eukaryota, Metazoa, Chordata, Mammalia, Artiodactyla, Monodontidae.